Molecule: microRNA precursor, 164 nt
Organism: Oryza sativa Japonica Group (Japanese rice)
Lineage: Eukaryota; Viridiplantae; Streptophyta; Magnoliopsida; Poales; Poaceae
Rfam family: MIR812 microRNA precursor family
Source: Rfam
AAUAAGCGCAGCCAUGAGUUUCUGUGUCCAACUUUGAUCAUCCGUCUUAUUUAAUUUUUUUAAAAAAAAGCUAAAAACAUAAGUCAUGCAUAACUAAUCAUAAAAAAAAUUCAAUUAAGACGGACGAUCAAAGUUGGACACGAAAACUCAUGAAUGGACUUAUU